Molecule: long non-coding RNA, 498 nt
Organism: Colias croceus (clouded yellow)
Lineage: Eukaryota; Metazoa; Arthropoda; Insecta; Lepidoptera; Pieridae
Exons: 2
Source: RefSeq, a predicted model, not a curated record
UAAGGUGCGCAUUGAAUUUUUAUAAUCAUUGUUUGGGUAGGUUUUACCUACUGAUUGUUUUAACGUGUUUUCACGAGGAGUGAUAGUAAUCAUGAUAAAAAAAAGAAAUUAUCUGGUUACCAGAAUCUAAUAAGGAAAAGAAAACAAGAAGAAGAACGUAAUAAAAAUGCAACUAAAAUAAGUAAAUAUUUUACGGCUCAACCAUCCACUUCGACACAAUCAUUAGAGACAGAAACCAGUUAGGUAUGUUAUCGAUGAAAGUGUUAUUAAAUCUGAUUCAAAAAACACUUCAUGUAGUGAUGAUGCCGCCGAAGUUACGUCUGUGCCUGUGCCUGAUACACCAUCGUCACCGUUAAGACAAUUAUCAUCACCAAUACCAACUUUUUCCAAAGAUGAUCCUGGAGCCUGGCCAGAAGUUUAAACGCUACUUUGAUCAGCUUCUUUGUUAUUCAUAUUUAAGUAUUAAAUUUUUUGUAUUAAUAAAGCAUGUUAAAAUUU